RNAcentral lists this ribosomal RNA (439 nucleotides) under uncultured bacterium. Its description in RNAcentral is "partial 16S ribosomal RNA". It matches the Rfam family "Bacterial small subunit ribosomal RNA", at positions 339 to 795 of the family's 1533-position model. The record is from RNAcentral.
CUACGGGGCGCAGCAGUGAGGAAUAUUGCACAAUGGGGGGAACCCUGAUGCAGCAACGCCGCGUGGAGGAUGACGCAUUUCGGUGUGUAAACUCCUUUUAUAUGUCAAGAAAAUGACGGUAGCAUAUGAAUAAGCACCGGCUAACUCCGUGCCAGCAGCCGCGGUAAUACGGAGGGUGCAAGCGUUACUCGGAAUCACUGGGCGUAAAGGACGCGUAGGCGGGUUGGAAAGUCAGGUGUGAAAUCCUACAGCUUAACUGUAGAACUGCACUUGAAACUGCUAAUCUAGAGUAUGGGAGGGUGAGAUGGAAUUAGUGGUGUAGGGGUAAAAUCCGUAGAUAUCACUAGGAAUACCUAAAGCGAAGGCGAUCUCCUGGAACAUUACUGACGCUAAGGCGUGAAGGCGUGGGGAGCAAACAGGAUUAGAUACCCUUGUAGUC